Molecule: ribosomal RNA, 425 nt
Filed under: uncultured Anaerovorax sp.
Lineage: Bacteria; Bacillati; Bacillota; Clostridia; Peptostreptococcales; Anaerovoracaceae
Description: bacterial SSU rRNA
Rfam family: Bacterial small subunit ribosomal RNA
Source: RNAcentral
UGAGGGAAUAUUUGGGUCAAUGGGCGAAAGCCUGAUGCAGCAACGCCGCGUGAGCGAAGAAGGUCUUCGGAUCGUAAAGCUCUGUCCUUGGGGAAGAUAAUGACGGUACCCUUGGAGGAAGCCCCGGCUAACUACGUGCCAGCAGCCGCGGUAAUACGUAGGGGGCAAGCGUUAUCCGGAAUUAUUGGGCGUAGAGGGCGUGUAGCCGGGAGGGCAAGUCAGAUGUGAAAUCCACGGGCUUAACUCGUGAACUGCAUUUGAAACUGUUCUUCUUGAGUAUCGGAGAGGCAAUCGGAAUUCCUAGUGUAGCGGUGAAAUGCGUAGAUAUUAGGAGGAACACCAGUGGCGAAGGCGGAUUGCUGGACGACAACUGACGGUGAGGCGCGAAAGCGUGGGGAGCAAACAGGAUUAGAUACCCUGGUAGU